CCCUUAGAUGUCCUGGGCCGCACGCGCGCUACACUGAGUGUCUGAGAUACGAGUCUGCCUGGUCCGGCAAGGUCUAGGUAAUCGCUAAAAGACACAUCAUGCUUGGGAUAGAUUAUUGCAAAUAUUAAUCUUGAACGAGGAAUUCCUAGUAAGCGCAAGUCAACAGCUUGCGUUGAUUACGUCCCUGCCCUUUGUACACACCGCCCGUCGCUCCUACCGAUUGAAUGUGUUGGUGAGGAGCUCGGAUUGGCAGCAGUUGGUGGUUCGCCACCGGCUAUUGCUGAGAAGUCCUCCAAACCGCCCCAUUUAGAGGAAGGAGAAGUCGUAACA
RNAcentral lists this ribosomal RNA (330 nucleotides) under uncultured eukaryote. RNAcentral describes it as "partial 18S ribosomal RNA". It matches the Rfam family "Eukaryotic small subunit ribosomal RNA", at positions 1470 to 1796 of the family's 1831-position model. The record is from RNAcentral.